This 257-nucleotide ribosomal RNA is filed under the name uncultured bacterium. RNAcentral's name for it is "partial 16S ribosomal RNA". It matches the Rfam family "Bacterial small subunit ribosomal RNA", at positions 524 to 776 of the family's 1533-position model. The record is from RNAcentral.
UACAUGGGGUGCAAACGUUGCUCGGAAUUAUUGGGCGUAAAGCGCACGUAGGCGGUUUGUUAAGUCGGAUGUGAAAUCCCUCGGCUCAACUGAGGAAGUGCAUCCGAAACUGGCAGGCUUGAGUACUAAAGAGGGUCGCGGAAUUCCCGGUGUAGAGGUGAAAAUUCGUAGAUAUCGGGAGGAACACCGGUGGCGAAGGCGGCGACCUGGGGUAGAUACUGACGCUGAGGCACGAAAAGCGUGGGGGAGCAAACAGG